AUUGAACGCUGGCGGCAGGCCUUACACAUGCAAGUCGAACGGCAGCACGGGAGCAAUCCUGGUGGCGAGUGGCGAACGGGUGAGUAAUAUAUCGGAACGUGCCCAGUCGUGGGGGAUAACGUAGCGAAAGCUACGCUAAUACCGCAUACGAUCUACGGAUGAAAGCGGGGGAUCGCAAGACCUCGCGCGAUUGGAGCGGCCGAUAUCAGAUUAGGUAGUUGGUGAGGUAAAGGCUCACCAAGCCGACGAUCUGUAGCUGGUCUGAGAGGACGACCAGCCACACUGGGACUGAGACACGGCCCAGACUCCUACGGGAGGCAGCAGUGGGGAAUUUUGGACAAUGGGCGCAAGCCUGAUCCAGCAAUGCCGCGUGCAGGAUGAAGGCCUUCGGGUUGUAAACUGCUUUGUACGGAACGAAACGGUGAGCUCUAAUACAGUUUGCUAAUGACGGUACCGUAAGAAUAAGCACCGGCUAACUACGUG
Molecule: ribosomal RNA, 483 nt
Filed under: uncultured bacterium
Lineage: Bacteria
Description: bacterial SSU rRNA
Rfam family: Bacterial small subunit ribosomal RNA
Source: RNAcentral